RNAcentral lists this ribosomal RNA (462 nucleotides) under uncultured Thauera sp. RNAcentral describes it as "bacterial SSU rRNA". It matches the Rfam family "Bacterial small subunit ribosomal RNA", at positions 919 to 1382 of the family's 1533-position model. The record is from RNAcentral. Lineage: Bacteria; Pseudomonadati; Pseudomonadota; Betaproteobacteria; Rhodocyclales; Zoogloeaceae.
ACCCGCACAAGCGGUGGAUGAUGUGGAUUAAUUCGAUGCAACGCGAAAACCUUUACCUACCCUUGACAUGUCUGGAACCUUGCUGAGAGGCGAGGGUGCCUUCGGGAGCCAGAACACAGGUGCUGCAUGGCUGUCGUCAGCUCGCGUCGUGAGAUGUUGGGUUAAGUCCCGCAACGAGCGCAACCCUUGUCAUUAGUUGCCAUCAUUUAGUUGGGCACUCUAAUGAGACUGCCGGUGACAAACCGGAGGAAGGUGGGGAUGACGUCAAGUCCUCAUGGCCCUUAUGGGUAGGGCUUCACACGUCAUACAAUGGUCGGUACAGAGGGUUGCCAAGCCGCGAGGUGGAGCCAAUCCCUUAAAGCCGAUCGUAGUCCGGAUCGUAGUCUGCAACUCGACUACGUGAAGUCGGAAUCACUAGUAAUCGCAGAUCAGCAUGCUGCGGUGAAUACGUUCCCGGGUCUU